Molecule: ribosomal RNA, 746 nt
Filed under: uncultured bacterium
Lineage: Bacteria
Description: bacterial SSU rRNA
Rfam family: Bacterial small subunit ribosomal RNA
Source: RNAcentral
CUUUUGCUGACGAGUGGCGCACGGGUGAGUAAUAUAUAGGUAACGUGCCUCUUAGUCUGGGAUAGCCAUUGGAAACGAUGAUUAAUACUAGAUACUCCUUCUCAUUAUAAUUUGAGUCGGGAAAGUUUUUCGCUAAGAGAUCGGCCUAUAUCCCAUCAGUUAGUUGGUAAGGUAACGGCUUACCAAGGCAAUGACGGGUAGCGGGUUUGAGAGGAUGAUCCGCCACACUGGUACUGAGACACGGACCAGACUCCUACGGGAGGCAGCAGUGAGGAAUAUUGCACAAUGGAGGAAACUCUGAUGCAGCAACGCCGCGCGAAGGAUGACGCAUUUCGGUGUGUAAACUCCUUUUAUAAGGGAAGAAAAUGACGGUACCUUAUGAAUAAGCACCGGCUAACUCCGUGCCAGCAGCCGCGGUAAUACGGAGGGUGCAAGCGUUACUCGGAAUCACUGGGCGUAAAGGACACGUAGGCGGGUUGUUUUUUUCAGGUGUGAAAUCCUACAGCUUAACUGUAGAACUGCACUUGAAACUGGCAACCUAGAGUAUGGGAGGGGGAGAUGGAAUUAGUGGUGUAGGGGUAAAAUCCGUAGAUAUCACUAGGAAUACCGAAAGCGAAGGCGAUCUCCUGGAACAUUACUGACGCUAAGGUGUGAAAGCGUGGGGGAGCAAACGGGGAUUUAGAUACCCCGGGUAGUCCACGCCCCUAAACGAUGAACACUAGUCGUCCGGGGAUGCUAGUCAUCUC